UACGGAGGGUGCAAGCGUUAUCCGGAUUCACUGGGUUUAAAGGGUGCGUAGGUGGAUCUAUAAGUCAGUGGUGAAAGCCCCGAGCUCAACUUGGGAAUUGCCAUUGAUACUGUGGAUCUUGAGUUCGGUUGAGGUAGGCGGAAUAUAUCAUGUAGCGGUGAAAUGCUUAGAUAUGAUAUAGAACACGGAUUGCGAAGGCAGCUUCCCAAGCCGUUACUGACACUGAUGCACGAAAGCGUGGGGAUCAAACAGG
Molecule: ribosomal RNA, 253 nt
Filed under: uncultured bacterium
Lineage: Bacteria
Description: partial 16S ribosomal RNA
Rfam family: Bacterial small subunit ribosomal RNA
Source: RNAcentral